UUAGAGUUUGAUCCUGGCUCAGGAUGAACGCUAGCGGCAGGCUUAACACAUGCAAGUCGAGGGGCAGCGAGAUCAGUGCUUGCACUGAUUGUCGGCGACCGGCGCACGGGUGCGUAACGCGUAUGCAACCUACCCAUUACAGGGGGAUAACACUGAGAAAUCGGUACUAAUACCCCAUAACAUCCAGGGAGGCAUCUUCUUGGGUUGAAAACUCCGGUGGUAAUGGAUGGGCAUGCGUUGUAUUAGUUAGUUGGUGGGGUAACGGCUCACCAAGACAACGAUACAUAGGGGGACUGAGAGGUUAACCCCCCACAUUGGUACUGAGACACGGACCAAACUCCUACGGGAGGCAGCAGUGAGGAAUAUUGGUCAAUGGACGCAAGUCUGAACCAGCCAUGCCGCGUGCAGGAAGACGGCUCUAUGAGUUGUAAACUGCUUUUGUACGAGGGUAAACGCAGAUACGCGUAUCUGUCUGAAAGUAUCGUACGAAUAAGGAUCGGCUAACUCCGUGCCAGCAGCCGCGGUAAUACGGAGGAUUCAAGCGUUAUCCGGAUUUAUUGGGUUUAAAGGGUGCGUAGGCGGUCGGAUAAGUUAGAGGUGAAAUCCCGGGGCUCAACUUCGGAAUUGCCUCUGAUACUGUUCGGCUAGAGAGUAGUUGCGGUAGGCGGAAUGUAUGGUGUAGCGGUGAAAUGCUUAGAGAUAAAACAGAACACCGAUUGCGAAGGCAGCUUACCAAGCUACUUCUGACGUUGAGGCACGAAAGCGUGGGCUUUAAAGGGGAUUAGAUACCCUGGUAGUCCACGCAGUAAACGAUGAUAACUCGUUGUCGGCGAUACAGUGUCGGUGACUAAGCGAAAGCGAUAAGUUAUCCACCUGGGGAGUACGUUCGCAAGAAUGAAACUCAAAGGAAUUGACGGGGGCCCGCACAAGCGGAGGAACAUGUGGUUUAAUUCGAUGAUACGCGAGGAACCUUACCCGGGCUUGAAAGUUAGUGACGGAUCUUGAAAGAGGUCUUCCCUUCGGGGCACGAAACUAGGUGCUGCAUGGUUGUCGUCAGCUCGUGCCGUGAGGUGUCGGGUUAAGUCCCAUAACGAGCGCAACCCCUACCGUUAGUUGCCAGCAGGUCAAGCUGGGCACUCUGACGGGACUGCCGGUGUAAGCCGAGAGGAAGGUGGGGAUGACGUCAAAUCAGCACGGCCCUUACGUCCGGGGCUACACACGUGUUACAAUGGCAGGUACAGAGGGCAGCUACCCAGCGAUGGGAUGCGAAUCUCGAAAGCCUGUCUCAGUUCGGAUUGGAGGCUGAAACCCGCCUCCAUGAAGUUGGAUUCGCUAGUAAUCGCGCAUCAGCCAUGGCGCGGUGAAUACGUUCCCGGGCCUUGCACACACCGCCCGUCA
Molecule: ribosomal RNA, 1398 nt
Filed under: uncultured bacterium
Lineage: Bacteria
Description: 16S ribosomal RNA
Rfam family: Bacterial small subunit ribosomal RNA
Source: RNAcentral